RNAcentral lists this ribosomal RNA (468 nucleotides) under uncultured bacterium. RNAcentral's name for it is "partial 16S ribosomal RNA". It matches the Rfam family "Bacterial small subunit ribosomal RNA", at positions 28 to 523 of the family's 1533-position model. The record is from RNAcentral.
GAUGAACGCUGGCGGCGUGCCUAACACAUGCAAGUCGAGCGAUCCUCUUCGGAGAAGAGCGGCGGACGGGUGAGUAACGCGUGGGUAACCUGCCCUGUACACACGGAUAACAUACCGAAAGGUAUGCUAAUACGAGAUAAUAUGCUUUUAUCGCAUGGCAGAAGUAUCAAAGCUCCGGCGGUACAGGAUGGACCCGCGUCUGAUUAGCUAGUUGGUAAGGUAACGGCUUACCAAGGCGACGAUCAGUAGCCGACCUGAGGGGGUGAUCGGCCACAUUGGAACUGAGACACGGUCCAAACUCCUACGGGAGGCAGCAGUGGGGAAUAUUGCACAAUGGGCGAAAGCCUGAUGCAGCAACGCCGCGUGAGCGAUGAAGGCCUUCGGGUCGUAAAGCUCUGUCCUCAAGGAAGAUAAUGACGGUACUUGAGGAGGAAGCCCCGGUUAACUACGUGCCAGCAGCCGCCGUAC